CCUACGGGAGGCACCAUUGUGUAAUAUUGGACAAUGGGGGGAACCCUGAUCCAGCCAUGCCGCGUGUGUGAAGAAGGCCCUCGGGUUGUAAAGCACUUUCAGUGAGGAAGAACGCCUGGUGGUUAAUACCCAUCAGGAAAGACAUCACUCACAGAAGAAGCACCGGCUAACUCCGUGCCAGCAGCCGCGGUAAUACGGAGGGUGCGAGCGUUAAUCGGAAUUACUGGGCGUAAAGCGCGCGUAGGUGGCUUGAUAAGCCGGUUGUGAAAGCCCCGGGCUCAACCUGGGAACGGCAUCCGGAACUGUCAAGCUAGAGUGCAGGAGAGGAAGGUAGAAUUCCCGGUGUAGCGGUGAAAUGCGUAGAGAUCGGGAGGAAUACCAGUGGCGAAGGCGGCCUUCUGGACUGACACUGACACUGAGGUGCGAAAGCGUGGGUAGCAAACAGGAUUAGAUACCCCAGUAGUC
This 465-nucleotide ribosomal RNA is filed under the name Vreelandella stevensii. RNAcentral's name for it is "partial 16S ribosomal RNA". It matches the Rfam family "Bacterial small subunit ribosomal RNA", at positions 338 to 795 of the family's 1533-position model. Lineage: Bacteria; Pseudomonadati; Pseudomonadota; Gammaproteobacteria; Oceanospirillales; Halomonadaceae. The record is from RNAcentral.